ACAACUUUCAGCAACGGAUCUCUUGGCUCUCCCAUCGAUGAAGAACGCAGCGAAAUGCGAUAAGUAAUGUGAAUUGCAGAAUUCAAUGAAUCAUCGAAUCUUUGAACGCACCUUGCGCCCUCUGGUAUUCCCGAGGGCAUGCCUGUUUGAGUGUCAUUA
Molecule: ribosomal RNA, 159 nt
Filed under: Paragymnopus perforans subsp. transatlanticus
Lineage: Eukaryota; Fungi; Basidiomycota; Agaricomycetes; Agaricales; Omphalotaceae
Description: Gymnopus perforans subsp. transatlanticus 5.8S ribosomal RNA
Rfam family: 5.8S ribosomal RNA
About the family: 5.8S ribosomal RNA (5.8S rRNA) is a component of the large subunit of the eukaryotic ribosome. It is transcribed by RNA polymerase I as part of the 45S precursor that also contains 18S and 28S rRNA.
Source: RNAcentral